Molecule: transfer RNA, 87 nt
Filed under: Flavobacteriaceae bacterium
Lineage: Bacteria; Pseudomonadati; Bacteroidota; Flavobacteriia; Flavobacteriales; Flavobacteriaceae
Description: tRNA-Ser
Rfam family: tRNA
About the family: Transfer RNA (tRNA) molecules are approximately 80 nucleotides in length.
Source: RNAcentral
GGAGAGGUGGCAGAGUGGUAAUGCAGCAGAUUGCUAAUCUGUGAACGCGUAAGUGUUCCCCGAGUUCGAGUCUCGGUCUCUCCGCAA